CUACGGGUGGCUCCAGUGGGGAAUAUUGGACAAUGGGGGAAACCCUGAUCCAGCAAUGCCGCGUGUGUGAAGAAGGCCUGCGGGUUGUAAAGCACUUUCGGUUGGGAGGACUGCUUCUAGCACUAAUAUUGUUGGAAGUUGACGUUACCUUCAGAAGAAGCACCGGCUAACUCCGUGCCAGCAGCCGCGGUAAUACGGAGGGUGCAAGCGUUAAUCGGAAUUACUGGGCGUAAAGCGCGCGUAGGCGGCUAGAUCAGUCGGGUGUGAAAGCCCCGGGCUUAACCUGGGAACUGCAUCUGAUACUGUCUAGCUUGAGUACAGGAGAGGAGAGUGGAAUUCCACAUGUAGCGGUGAAAUGCGUAGAUAUGUGGAGGAACACCAAUGGCGAAGGCAGCUCUCUGGCCUGAUACUGACGCUGAGGUGCGAAAGCAUGGGGAGCAAACAGGAUUAGAUACCCCAGUAGUC
RNAcentral lists this ribosomal RNA (465 nucleotides) under uncultured bacterium. Its description in RNAcentral is "partial 16S ribosomal RNA". It matches the Rfam family "Bacterial small subunit ribosomal RNA", at positions 339 to 795 of the family's 1533-position model. The record is from RNAcentral.